RNAcentral lists this ribosomal RNA (426 nucleotides) under uncultured beta proteobacterium. RNAcentral describes it as "bacterial SSU rRNA". It matches the Rfam family "Bacterial small subunit ribosomal RNA", at positions 356 to 774 of the family's 1533-position model. Lineage: Bacteria; Pseudomonadati; Pseudomonadota; Betaproteobacteria. The record is from RNAcentral.
GGGGAAUUUUGGACAAUGGGGGCAACCCUGAUCCAGCCAUGCCGCGUGAGUGAAGAAGGCCUUCGGGUUGUAAAGCUCUUUCGGACGGAAAGAAAUCGCCGCCUCUAACAUAGGCGGUGGAUGACGGUACCGUAAGAAGAAGCACCGGCUAACUACGUGCCAGCAGCCGCGGUAAUACGUAGGGUGCGAGCGUUAAUCGGAAUUACUGGGCGUAAAGCGUGCGCAGGCGGUUUGGUAAGACAGGUGUGAAAUCCCCGGGCUUAACCUGGGAACUGCGCUUGUGACUGCCAGGCUAGAGUACGGCAGAGGGGGGUGGAAUUCUCGGUGUAGGGGUAAAAUCCGUAGAGAUCGAGAGGAAUACUCAUUGCGAAGGCGACCUGCUGGAACAUUACUGACGCUGAGGGGCGAAAGCGUGGGGAGCAAACA